Molecule: ribosomal RNA, 301 nt
Filed under: uncultured bacterium
Lineage: Bacteria
Description: partial 16S ribosomal RNA
Rfam family: Bacterial small subunit ribosomal RNA
Source: RNAcentral
CAGUCGCCGCGGUAAUACGGAGGGUGCAAGCGUUAUCCGGAUUUAUUGGGUUUAAAGGGUCCGUAGGCGGAUCUGUAAGUCAGUGGUGAAAUCUCACAGCUUAACUGUGAAACUGCCAUUGAUACUGCAGGUCUUGAGUAAAUUUGAAGUGGCUGGAAUAAGUAGUGUAGCGGUGAAAUGCAUAGAUAUUACUUAGAACACCAAUUGCGAAGGCAGGUCACUAAGAUUUAACUGACGCUGAUGGACGAAAGCGUGGGGAGCGAACAGGAUUAGAUACCCGUGUAGUUCCUGUCUCUUAUAC